UACGUAGGUGGCGAGCGUUGUCCGGAUUUACUGGGCGUAAAGAGCGCGCAGGCGGCUGGUCAAGUCCGAUGUGAAAGCUCCCGGCUUAACUGGGAAAUUGCAUCGGAAACUGAUCGGCUGGAAGGUGGGAGAGGGUAGCGGAAUUCCCGGUGUAGUGGUGAAAUGUGUAGAGAUCGGGAGGAACACCGGUGGCGAAGGCGGGUCUCUGGGCAAUUCCUGACGCUGAGGCGCGAAAGCGUGGGGAGCAAACGGG
This 253-nucleotide ribosomal RNA is filed under the name uncultured bacterium. RNAcentral's name for it is "partial 16S ribosomal RNA". It matches the Rfam family "Bacterial small subunit ribosomal RNA", at positions 524 to 776 of the family's 1533-position model. The record is from RNAcentral.